Molecule: ribosomal RNA, 497 nt
Filed under: uncultured bacterium
Lineage: Bacteria
Description: partial 16S ribosomal RNA
Rfam family: Bacterial small subunit ribosomal RNA
Source: RNAcentral
GAUGAACGCUGGCGGCGUGCCUAACACAUGCAAGUCGAGCGAACGAACGAGAAGCUCGCUUCUCUGAUGUUAGCGGCGGACGAGUGAGUAACACGUGUAUAACCUACCUAUAAGAAUGAGAUAACGUCGGGAAACCGGAGCCAAUAUCCGAUAUUAUGGUGAACCGCAUGGUUCAAUAGUGAAAGACCGUCUUGCUGUCACUAAUAGAUGGUACCUCGCUGGAUUAGCUAGUUGGUGAGGUAACGGCUUACCAAGGCGACGAUGCGUAGCUGACCUGAGAGGGUGAUCAGCCACACUGGAACUGAGACACGGUCCAGACUCCUACGGGAGGCAGCAGUGGGGAAUCUUGCACAAUGGGCGAAAGCCUGAUGCAGCCAUGCCGCGUGAGUGAUGAAGGUCUUCGGAUUGUAAAACACUGUAAGUUGGGAGGAAGAGAAGUAAGUUUAUCUCUGGCUGUCUUGACGGUACCAACAGAAUAAGCACCGGCUAACUACGUG